Molecule: transfer RNA, 87 nt
Filed under: Zetaproteobacteria bacterium CG2_30_46_52
Lineage: Bacteria; Pseudomonadati; Pseudomonadota; Candidatius Mariprofundia
Description: tRNA-Leu
Rfam family: tRNA
About the family: Transfer RNA (tRNA) molecules are approximately 80 nucleotides in length. Their secondary structure includes four short double-helical elements and three loops (D, anti-codon, and T loops).
Source: RNAcentral
GCCUGGGUGGCGGAAUUGGUAGACGCGCUGGCUUCAGGUGCCAGUGUCCUCACGGACGUGCUGGUUCGAGUCCAGUCCCAGGUACCA